UUGACCAUGACCUAAAGGACUUCCUGGGAUGAAGGAACACAAUCACCAUCCUUCCUCUUUCCGUCCCUCCAUCAGGCUACAUACCCAGAAGGGCCUUCAUCCCCUGCUACUAUUCCUGUUUCCUCUCCACUUCUCCAGAAGCAAGUACUGCAUAUGUGGCCGUCGAGUCCUUUCUGACCCACAGAGACAAAAACGGACACAUCUCUCGCCGAACACCCCGCUCUCCAUCUGCAAUCGUUUCGGUAGUG
Molecule: long non-coding RNA, 248 nt
Organism: Ornithorhynchus anatinus (platypus)
Lineage: Eukaryota; Metazoa; Chordata; Mammalia; Monotremata; Ornithorhynchidae
Exons: 3
Source: RefSeq, a predicted model, not a curated record